AUCUAGCUGACGAGUCCUAAAUAGGAUGAAACGCGCUUUAUCCUGGAU
Molecule: non-coding RNA, 48 nt
Organism: Schistosoma mattheei
Lineage: Eukaryota; Metazoa; Platyhelminthes; Trematoda; Strigeidida; Schistosomatidae
Source: Rfam